AAACCAACAGGGAUUGCCCUAGUAACGGCGAGUGAAGCGGCAACAGCUCAAAUUUGAAAGCUGGCCUUCGGGUCCGCAUUGUAAUUUGUAGAGGAUGCUUUGGGUGAAACGCCAGUCUAAGUUCCUUGGAACAGGACGUCAUAGAGGGUGAGAAUCCCGUAUGUGACUGGAAAUGUUAACCUAUGUAAAGCUCCUUCGACGAGUCGAGUUGUUUGGGAAUGCAGCUCUAAAUGGGAGGUAAAUUUCUUCUAAAGCUAAAUAUUGGCGAGAGACCGAUAGCGCACAAGUAGAGUGAUCGAAAGAUGAAAAGCACUUUGGAAAGAGAGUUAAAAAGCACGUGAAAUUGUUGAAAGGGAAGCGCUUGCAAUCAGACUUGUUUAAACUGUUCGGCCGGUCUUCUGACCGGUUUACUCAGUUUGGACAGGCCAGCAUCAGUUUCGGCGGCCGGAUAAAGGCUCUGGGAAUGUGGCCUUCACUUCGGUGAAGGUGUUAUAGCCCAGGGUGUAAUACGGCCAGCCGGGACUGAGGUCCGCGCUUCGGCUAGGAUGCUGGCGUAAUGGUUGUAAGCGACCCGUCUUGAAACACCG
Molecule: ribosomal RNA, 587 nt
Filed under: Aureobasidium pullulans
Lineage: Eukaryota; Fungi; Ascomycota; Dothideomycetes; Dothideales; Saccotheciaceae
Description: LSU rRNA
Rfam family: Eukaryotic large subunit ribosomal RNA
Source: RNAcentral